GAGUGAUCGAAAGAUGAAAAGCACUUUGAAAAGAGAGUUAAAAAGCACGUGAAAUUGUUGAAAGGGAAGCGCUUGCGACCAGACUCGCCUACGGGGUUCAGCCGGUAUUCGUACCGGUGUACUUCCCCGUGGGCGGGCCAGCGUCGGUUUGGGCGGCCGGUCAAAGGCCCUCGGAAUGUAACGCCUCUCGGGGCGUCUUAUAGCCGAGGGUGCCAUGCGGCCAGCCCGGACCGAGGAACGCGCUUCGGCACGGACGCUGGCAUAAUGGUCGUAAGCGACCC
This 281-nucleotide ribosomal RNA is filed under the name Penicillium citreonigrum. Its description in RNAcentral is "partial 28S ribosomal RNA". It matches the Rfam family "Eukaryotic large subunit ribosomal RNA", at positions 351 to 650 of the family's 3401-position model. RNAcentral also lists the same sequence under 1 other name. The record is from RNAcentral. Lineage: Eukaryota; Fungi; Ascomycota; Eurotiomycetes; Eurotiales; Aspergillaceae.